UACGUAGGGUGCAAGCGUUGUCCGGAAUUAUUGGGCGUAAAGAGCUCGUAGGCGGUUUGUCGCGUCUGCUGUGAAAACGCGGGGCUCAACUCCGCGCCUGCAGUGGGUACGGGCAGACUAGAGUGCAGUAGGGGAGACUGGAAUUCCUGGUGUAGCGGUGGAAUGCGCAGAUAGUCAGGAGGAACACCGGUGGCGAAGGCGGGUCUCUGGGCCGUAACUGACGCUGGAGGAGCGAAAGCCGUGGGGAGCGAACAGG
This 256-nucleotide ribosomal RNA is filed under the name uncultured bacterium. Its description in RNAcentral is "partial 16S ribosomal RNA". It matches the Rfam family "Bacterial small subunit ribosomal RNA", at positions 524 to 776 of the family's 1533-position model. The record is from RNAcentral.